Molecule: non-coding RNA, 3056 nt
Organism: Zea mays
Lineage: Eukaryota; Viridiplantae; Streptophyta; Magnoliopsida; Poales; Poaceae
Source: RefSeq, a predicted model, not a curated record
GCAGGUUUCGAGUCGAUGACCUUCAUGUCUAUCAGUUCCGUUCCGAUGCAGGAGCUUCCUUGACUAGCUCUAGCUGUAGGUCAGGUCAAGCAAACCGUGGCGCUCAUCGGUGGGAAUCUGGGGAGGUCUCGUCCCCGGUUCCGAUGGACAGAAGCCCAUCGGCUUGCGCGGUGUAGUCGUUCAGCAAUCCAUCAGGAGGAGAUUCAAGCGGCAAGACAGCUGUAUUUGAGAAGGUGCGAUGAAUUUUAUCAUCGGACUGUUGGGCGGCAUGCAGAUCGUGAGGUCAGGGGUCCCGUUCGCUCGGCGGUUGAGAGGAAGGUUCUUUUGAAAACAUCGUCGAAAUCACAGGUACGUUCUCUUAAACCAGAUGCCGCGUUGGGUACCUGCGUUGCUCCAUUUCCGGUGCCUAGCUUGUCACCGGCCGUUACUCUCGGACGCGUGACGCUUUCGGCAAAGGCAGGUCCUCCUCGACGAGGUUGCUCGCCAGCGUCGAGGAUGGAUGUCAGUGUUGCAGCUCCGGCUGUCCAGGGUCAUUCAAAUUCAAUCCCAUUUCCUCUUUCCAAGGAUCGGCAAUUACAGAAAGCGUUAAUUUCGCCAGGGGAGCCGUUCGGCGAUCCUGAGCAUUAUUGCCAGCGGGAUGGUGCCCGGUCUAGUGAAUCUGUGGGCCUCUUGUCCUCCCAGGAUUUGGGUGGUCUGGGAGCGACAUACUCUGGUUGGGCCAGCCGUUACCCGGGCCUGCUUUCUCUCCGUCAGAGACUUCACAGCACGGAUAAACCUAGGCGCAAUGUUCACUCGUCACGUUUUUUUCAGCCACCGGUUGCUAGUUUCAGAUCGUACGCCGACGUCCUCAAGUCGGGUGUUCUUGCUGGAGUUAGUUCGCACGCCGACGCCCUCAAGUCGUGUGUUCUCUCCGGCGGAAUGGCGGAUGCAGAGGGCUGGCGAGUGGUUGAUCACCGGCGCCAGCAGGUUCGUGGUCGUGCCUCGGGUCCUGGUAGUUGGUCUUUUCGCGGUCGGGGCAAUUGGAAGGUGCGUGGACGCAGUUCUGGGCAUGGACGUGGUGGACGUGGUGGACGUUUCCAUGCUCCUGCAGCGUCGCUUGGCUCUAAUGACAGGGCGGUUGUGGAUCAUAGCAGAGGUGGUCAGGCUGAUGCGGCUAGAAAACGGGUUGCCGUUGUCGCACCCGGGGUUACUGACAAGGGGAAGAAACGCCGGGAAGAGCUUUGUUGCGAAAUUUGUGAAGAUAACCAUGUUCCGGAGGAGUGUCCGGUGUUCAAUGGUCCUAAGCCUCAGGCAGCUCUUUGCGGUUUUGCGGGCGGUGAGUCUGGUUUCUUUCAAAUUCCAACAUGGGGAUCACAUGCUGCAGUUCCGAGGUCGGAUGGUGUCACUGCAUUUAUAACAGUGAAAGAAGGUAAUGUUUCUGCUGAUCUCGUCAAGUCUGAACUCUCUAGACUUAUACCAGUGAAGUGGAAUUGGUCGGUCCAGAAGCACGCAGACGGGUUUCUGGUACCUUUUCCAUGCAGAGUCGAGCUCCAACGCAUGAUUGCUAUGAAAUAUGUUCAUACGUUGGGUGGAGAAGGUAUCUUGGUGAUUCAGGAGGUUAAUCAGACAAUAGAGCCGAUUGCUUAUCUACAGAAGGUUUGGGUAAAUGUUUACGGGGUUCCUUUUGAAAUCCGCUCCUUUCUCCCUUUGUGGGCAGUAGGUUCUAUUUUGGGUGCAACUCAGAAAGUCGAUAUGCGUUACACCAGGAAAAUGGGGGUGGUCCGUAUUUUGGUGGCAGUGACCAGUGUGAAUCACAUUCCAGAGUCCACAGAAAUAGUAGUUGGUGAAGGGUUAUAUGAGAUUUUCUUCAAAGUUGAUAAGGUACUCAAAGAUGGGAAGUGGAUCGAUAAUGAUAACAUGGGUAAUCGAGAUGGAGAUGAUAAGGGGCAAGGAGAGAAUGAUGACUAUUCUAAGAAACAUGAAAAAGAUUUCUUUCAGUCAGAGGAGAUAGCAGAGGAUACUGUUAUGGAAGAUAACUCACUGCCAAGCGAUUCUAAGCAUCCUCAGGAUGGGGCUCCUCGUGAUUUGGAAUUGGUGUCUCAACUAGGCUGUCAUCUCCUUGAUGGUUCGGUGGCUUCUUUGGGUAUGGAGUCAGAUGGUUUGAUCUCGGAUAAUCCGGCAGCCUUGAUGGCACUUAUUUCCUCUGGUGCAUAUCAGUAGGAAGUCGAUCUUUUAUCUGGUGCUCUUGGUCAGUCACCAGGUACUGUCAACAAUGUUGAAAUUUCCAAUAUCCGGUUGGAGCUGAAUCCAGGCAGCGAUUCCUUUACUAGCGUGGCGCUGUGUGAGGACGGGCUGCACUCGCCAGUGCUUGCUGCCAGUUCUCAUUCUCAGGUUGAGAUCAUGCCUCUUGCUAGUCUAGUCGUCAAUCUGGUUGUAGAAGACGUCUGGUCUCAUCCAAAGGUUGGGAUCGACGUGGAUGGAAAUCCUAUUAAAUAUGCUGAUACUCAGGUGAGAGUCAGUCACCUGGGACAUAUUAAUUCCUUCGCCGAGGUUCCUCGUUCGGUCCUCCAGGACACUCUUGCAUCUUAUUCUCUUUCUAAGGGAGGAAAGACUAAAAAAGUUAAUCAAGGAAAUUUCAGAUUAUGUGCGAAGAGGACUAAUACAGAUGAAGAUAUUUUGUCCAAAGCACAGCGCAUGGCAGCUAAGCGUAAUCUGGAAUUCAGUUAUUUUCAGAUGUACUCACUGGUUAAGAUUCUGGAGACCGCUACAAAAGGAGGAAUCGCAACAACAAAUUCUCGUUGCUUCGCACGUUUUGGAAGUGGUGGCGAUGGAAGUCUUCGCAAACCAUGGAUGGCGCUCAAAUACAAGAAUUGAGUAUGGCUAGUGUUAGUCAUAGUCUUGUAAUUUAAUUCCUUUGAGUUAGUAUCACUAUUCAUGCAACAGUUCUUAGUUGUAAUAAUCGACUUGUAUUGGCUGUACGCAUUAUCAUGCUAAAGCUGGAACUCUUGUUUCCAUUAUCAAAAAAAAAAGAUGUACCGAACAAAAUCAACCAAAUUUAUAGCUGAAAAUAUCUAGAC